RNAcentral lists this unclassified non-coding RNA (336 nucleotides) under soil metagenome. RNAcentral's name for it is "partial contains 5.8S ribosomal RNA, internal transcribed spacer 2, and large subunit ribosomal RNA". The stretch from base 1 to 120 matches the Rfam family "5.8S ribosomal RNA", at positions 35 to 154 of the family's 154-position model. The record is from RNAcentral.
GAUGAAGAACGUAGUGAAAUGCGAUAAGUAAUGUGAAUUGCAGAAUUCAGUGAAUCAUCGAAUCUUUGAACGCACAUUGCGCCCGCCAGUAUUCUGGCGGGCAUGCCUGUUCGAGCGUCAUUUCAACCAUCAAGCCCCCGGCUUGUGUUGGGGACCUGCGGCUGCCGCAGGCCCUGAAAAGCAGUGGCGGGCUCGCUGUCACACCGAGCGUAGUAGAUUUCAUCUCGCUCAGGGCGUGCUGCGGGUUCCGGCCGUUAAACCACCUUCAUAACCCAAGGUUGACCUCGGAUCAGGUAGGAAGACCCGCUGAACUUAAGCAUAUCAAUAAGCGGAGGA